CAAUAGCGUAUAUUAAAGUUGUUGCGCUUAAAAAGCUCGUAGUUGGAUUUCUGCUGAGGACGAUCGGUCCGCCCUCUGGGUGAGUAUCUGGCUCGGCCUUGGCAUCUUCUUGGAGAACGUUACUGCACUUGACUGUGUGGUGCGGUACCCAGGACUUUUACUUUGAGGAAAUUAGAGUGUUUCAGGCAGGCUUUCGCCGGAAUACAUUAGCAUGGAAUAAUGGAAAAGGACUUCAACCUCUUCUGUUGGUCUGAGAGGCUGUAGUAAUGAUUAAUAGGGAUAGUUGGGGGGCAUUAGUACUUAACUGUCAGAGGUGAAAUUCUCCGAUUUGUUAAAGACUAACUUAUGCGAAAGCAUUUGCCAAGGAUGUUUUUCAUUAAUCAAGAACGAAAGUUAGGGGAUCAAAGACGAUUAGAUACCG
This 421-nucleotide ribosomal RNA is filed under the name uncultured eukaryote. RNAcentral describes it as "bacterial SSU rRNA". It matches the Rfam family "Eukaryotic small subunit ribosomal RNA", at positions 592 to 1017 of the family's 1831-position model. The record is from RNAcentral.